RNAcentral lists this long non-coding RNA (1809 nucleotides) under Musa acuminata (dwarf banana). Its description in RNAcentral is "long non-coding RNA (MACU_LNC003025)". Lineage: Eukaryota; Viridiplantae; Streptophyta; Magnoliopsida; Zingiberales; Musaceae. The record is from RNAcentral.
CACAAGUUCUAUUUGCUUUGUAGCUAUAAAUCAGACUGUUUCUUGUGGCAGACAGAUGAGCAGUGAUCAGUAUGCCAUGAAAUCCACAACUCACUUAUAGUGCAGCAGAGACAGAUAUGACAAUUUUGAAGCUGAUUCAAGUCAGCAUGUGAAAGAAAAAGAUGUUCUGCCUCGAGUGGUAAAAGUGAUAUAAGAUUAUUAACAUGGAAAUGACACACUGAAAAAUGAGCAUUUGGAUAAUUAACAUGGAAAAAACUAAACCAUUGUAGCAUUCUAAACCAUAAUGGAGUAGCAUUCAGGAUGCUUGAUGCAAGAACUAUACCAUGCAUGCCAAUCAGCACUGGAACAUGUCCCACGUCAGUUGAGAAAGGCCCCUAAAAGACCAUUGGUUAGAUCAUAUCCGAGUCAAGUGGUGCACAAUCUAUCAUUGAACAAAUAAGAGAUCAAAAGAAAAUACCAUUUUAUAUUCCUCAUGACAAGCUAAUAAGGCUGGAUUUGAUGAUUCCUUCAUUCAGUUUCCAGGACAAUAUAUUUGUAUCACAUGAUAAGGUUAUCAACACGUCAGUAUGUCAGCAAGAUAUCAAAUGCAUUUCUUAUCUAUAUGUAUCUUCUAGUUUGUAUAAUUUAUAUAGGUUGUAGCAUAAGGAACUUUAUAUUCUCCCCACGAUCACUUAGCUACAGCAAUUCAACCAAUUACAUAUUACUAGUUACCUUUAGUAUCUUAGUCCUUACAUUUUAAAAGAUUACAUUGGCAUCCAUAUAGUUACGAAAGUGAAACAUCUGGAUCUAUUUAUCUUAAUGUCAUCAGUUUUAUCAACGAAAACACAAAAACAAAAAGUAAGAAGACAAUUUUAACAUUCCAAUUGGUGUUGGGGGACAGCAUCAGUGGUGGCAAACGACGAUAUUGUUGGGGGCCGUGGGUAAUUAUUAUGGAUGAAGAGAGUGACGGUGAGAGGUGAGAGCCGCUCGACAUAUACAUCAGUGUCGACACAAAUGCAAAGCGGCGCUGCUCGACAACUACGUCAAAGCCAACAUAGUUACCAAGCAACGCCACUCUGCAUCUGUGUCGGCGUUGAUGCAGUUGUCAAGUAACGAAAAGAUCAUUGAUAUAGAUGCUGUGCGACGAAAGAGUCGCUCGACAACUAUAUUGGCAUCGACGCAAAUACAAAGUGACUCUCACCUCUCGUUGCUGCACUCCUCAUCUAUAACAAUCACUCGUGGCCUCCAACGACAACGUCAUUUGCCACCACCAGCGGCAUCCUUCACCACUGACCGGAACGUAAAAAUUAUUUUUUUGAUCUUUAUUUUCGUAUUUCUAUUGAUAAAACUGAUAACGUUAAGGUAAAUGAACCAAAAUAUUUCACUUUUGUAAUAUAAGGAUGCACAUGUAACUUUCUAAAUUAUGGGACCAUGACGUUAAAGUAGCUAACUAUUAUCGAUCACAGAAUAAAAGAAGCAGAUUAAGGAGCAAGAACCAUUCAACAGGGCGCGAAAUCCGCCAUGGCGUAUCGAUGUCUCCACUAUCUCGACGAGCCCCCCGCGAAGAACCCGGUUUCUCGAUUCGCAAAAGAGAGAUCGAGGGAUCGGAUUCGUCGCAAGUAAUAGAAGGAUAUUGGAAUCUGGGGGAGGGAGGAUGUUGGUUUCGAUGGAGAAAUUAGGGUUGCGAAAAGUACCUCGGGAGAAAUCGCCGACGCUUCUUCUGCUUGGAGCUUAGGACCGUUUCCCUCAAAAGAAGAAAGACUAGUCUUAAUGGGCUUCCGAGUUUAACUUCAUGUAUUUGAUUGUUGGGCCUCAAAAGCCCAUACAAGC